AUUAAAAACCAAUGCCCUUCGGGGCUCUCUGGUGAUUCAUAAUAACUUCUCGAAUCGCACGGCCUUGCGCCGGCGAUGGUUCAUUCAAAUUUCUGCCCUAUCAACUUUCGACGGCUGGGUCUUGGCCAGCCGUGGUGACAACGGGUAACGGAGGGUUAGGGCUCGACCCCGGAGAAGGAGCCUGAGAAACGGCUACUACAUCCAAGGAAGGCAGCAGGCGCGCAAAUUACCCAAUCCCGACACGGGGAGGUAGUGACAAUAAAUACUGAUACAGGGCUCUUUCGGGUCUUGUAAUUGGAAUGAGUACAAUUUAAAUCCCUUAACGAGGAACAAUUGGAGGGCAAGUCUGGUGCCAGCAGCCGCGGUAAUUCCAGCUCCAAUAGCGUAUAUUAAAGUUGUUGAGGUUAAAAAGCUCGUAGUUGAACCUUGGGCCUAGCCGGCCGGUCCGCCUCACCGCGUGCACUGGCUCGGCUGGGUCUUUCCUUCUGGAGAACCGCAUGCCCUUCACUGGGUGUGCC
Molecule: ribosomal RNA, 518 nt
Filed under: uncultured fungus
Lineage: Eukaryota; Fungi
Description: SSU rRNA
Rfam family: Eukaryotic small subunit ribosomal RNA
Source: RNAcentral